AGAGUUUGAUUCUGGCUCAGAGCGAACGCUGGCGGCAGGCUUAACACAUGCAAGUCGAGCGGGCGUAGCAAUACGUCAGCGGCAGACGGGUGAGUAACGCGUGGGAACGUACCUUUUGGUUCGGAACAACACAGGGAAACUUGUGCUAAUACCGGAUAAGCCCUUACGGGGAAAGAUUUAUCGCCGAAAGAUCGGCCCGCGUCUGAUUAGCUAGUUGGUGAGGUAAUGGCUCACCAAGGCGACGAUCAGUAGCUGGUCUGAGAGGAUGAUCAGCCACAUUGGGACUGAGACACGGCCCAAACUCCUACGGGAGGCAGCAGUGGGGAAUAUUGGACAAUGGGCGCAAGCCUGAUCCAGCCAUGCCGCGUGGAGGUAGAAGGCCCACGGGUCGUAAACUCCUUUUCUCAGAGAAGAAGCAAUGACGGUAUCUGAGGAAUAAGCAUCGGCUAACUCUGUGCCAGCAGCCGCGGUAAGACAGAGGAUGCAAGCGUUAUCCGGAAUGAUUGGGCGUAAAGCGUCUGUAGGUGGCUUUUUAAGUCUGCCGUUAAAUCCCAGGGCUUAACCCUGGAUAAGCGGUGGAAACUACCAAGCUGGAGUACGGUAGGGGCAGAGNNNANUUCCGGUGGAGCGGUGAAAUGCGUAGAGAUCGGAAAGAACACCAA
RNAcentral lists this ribosomal RNA (662 nucleotides) under uncultured bacterium. RNAcentral describes it as "bacterial SSU rRNA". It matches the Rfam family "Bacterial small subunit ribosomal RNA", at positions 8 to 712 of the family's 1533-position model. The record is from RNAcentral.